GGAGAGGUGGCAGAGUGGUUUAAUGCUACGGUCUUGAAAACCGUCGUAGGGCAACCUACCGUGAGUUCGAAUCUCACCCUCUCCG
Molecule: transfer RNA, 85 nt
Filed under: Borrelia miyamotoi
Lineage: Bacteria; Pseudomonadati; Spirochaetota; Spirochaetia; Spirochaetales; Borreliaceae
Also listed under: 1 other name
Description: tRNA-Ser (TGA) (tRNA-Ser-TGA-1-1)
Rfam family: tRNA
About the family: Transfer RNA (tRNA) molecules are approximately 80 nucleotides in length. Their secondary structure includes four short double-helical elements and three loops (D, anti-codon, and T loops). Further hydrogen bonds mediate the characteristic L-shaped molecular structure. tRNAs have two regions of fundamental functional importance: the anti-codon, which is responsible for specific mRNA codon recognition, and the 3' end, to which the tRNAs corresponding amino acid is attached (by aminoacyl-tRNA synthetases). tRNAs cope with the degeneracy of the genetic code in two manners: having more than one tRNA (with a specific anti-codon) for a particular amino acid; and 'wobble' base-pairing, i.e. permitting non-standard base-pairing at the 3rd anti-codon position.
Source: RNAcentral